This 332-nucleotide ribosomal RNA is filed under the name uncultured Actinomycetes bacterium. RNAcentral describes it as "bacterial SSU rRNA". It matches the Rfam family "Bacterial small subunit ribosomal RNA", at positions 28 to 351 of the family's 1533-position model. Lineage: Bacteria; Bacillati; Actinomycetota; Actinomycetes. The record is from RNAcentral.
GACGAACGCUGGCGGCGUGCUUAAUGCAUGCAAGUCGCACGAGGCCCCAUCGACGAGCAAUCGUCGCGGGGUCCUAGUGGCGAACGGGUGAGUAACACGUGAGGAACCUGCCCCGGAGUCCGGAAUAGCCCAGGGAAACCUGGAUUAAUGCCGGAUACCCUCCAUCGGUCGCAUGUCUGGUGGAGGAAAGGUCCGCCGCUCUGGGAUGGCCUCGCGGCCUAUCAGCUUGUUGGCGAGGUAACGGCUCACCAAGGCUACGACGGGUAGCUGGUCUGAGAGGACGAUCAGCCACACUGGGACUGAGACACGGCCCAGACUCCUACGGGUGGCUG